UGCUGUGCUGUGUUCUCGGCUACUGCGUUAGUAUGUUUCGUUAUUUAGAGAGUUUUGUCAGCUGGCACUUUACGUAAUGUACGCCUAGACGCUGCUGUUUUUGUGUGGGUGGUUUCAUUUUGAAUGCACAUAUUUAUUACUUAAUGAUUGGUUAUAUCUGAUCAGAGUAUGAGUAUGACUACAAAUGCAGAAAAGGUUACAUCACCAUUUAAGCUAAUAUGAACAAUUAAAUCAUGGUUUAAUUUCCCAUUGGGAUUCUGUCUAGAUGAGAUGAUGUACUAGAUAUUUUAACGAGAAAACCAAUAAUUUAACCGAAAUCAGAAUUCAAUUGUGAUUGUGUCAUACGAUUUUGUCGAAUUCAAAGAAAAGUCGUUUUUUGCAGAUUUUGAUACGGAACGCCGUUUGACCCUUUUUUUAUAGACAACUCUUUUUCGAUAGUUGUCCGUUUUUUAGCAAAUAAAUAGAUAACUUGUACUGCCAUCUAGCUGUCAAAAACAUCACUUGAAGGAGGGAUUUCAAUAGGCGACGCCUUCAAGGGAGGAGGAGUCUACAACAUAUUGAAUUUAUCGAUCGAUUGUUAGGUCUAUUUUCGGUAGCCAUUGUGUAGUUAUACCAUGGCCUACUAUUACACCAUGGCCAUAGAAUCGCGACCUAGAAGAAGAGAAUCAAUUAGAUUGUUUAAUGGCGUAGGUUUUCGUAGUUUUCGACGCGAUGUGAUUGUGUGUUAAUUGGUGGAGAAACAUUGUCGUAAUUGGAUAUCGGAACGGAUUUCCAUAAUGUACACGUGUUGUAACCGACCAGCACAAAAUUGAUACAUUUUUUUUCAUUUAUCACAAAUUGGUUAUCAGCAGCAUUUCCACUCUAUAGCAGCAGAAGCCAAGCUGUUCAGUCAACGGAAGACCAUUGUAAUUGCAUUUUAUGAGAUACAACAACUUUGUUGCCAAUAACAACAUGCUGCAUUAAUUUUUGUCCACAGCAAAAAUAAAAUGCAACUUCUUUCACAGGAGUAACACAUUGUGUGGUUUAAGUUGUUAGCUACCAUAGUCUCCUGAUAGUUUGAGUCUGACAAUAAGCAAUACCAUAUUGUUAUUUGUUUCUUCCCUUUGCAGAGAUGUUAGCUUGUUGUGAUUUUAGACCAUGGUAUAGACUGACCCUUUGUAUCUGUGUCAAACCAGUUACAUCAACUCACUUGUUGUUGACACCCCUGGAGAUAUUACCAAACUUUCGAAAUGGUUGAAGCAGGCACCCAUAAUAUGUCGAUUCAAUUUUAGUGCUAUCACUGUAAGGAUGGUAACCUGUUAUUAAGUUACACCACCUGUUUCAUUUGGCCAUAGGAUAGAUAUACCAAAAGAGUGAUACUCUUUAAUGUUUGCAGUGUGUUUGUCACAUUCAAUGAAUCCAUAUCUUCUCGUGAAUUGAUGGACUGAAUAAUGUCACAUUGCCAAAAAAAACAAACACUGGAACCCUUCUGCAUGACUUUGAACCACAAGAUAUUGAUCUUUUUUACAUUCGCCUUUUGGGUUGAACGGUAAAGAGUUUCACGGUUCACUGUUUUAUCCGAAAAUCAUAUAUCCACGAAAUGUUGGCAUCAUUGGUCUAUGAACAGAUAUGCUGAUGACUGAAAUCAAUUGGAUCAGCUGAAAACAUAUGUGGAGACAUCUAUGCAACUUUGUACUUGGAUAUGUGUCAUUCCACUGGUAGUGGCUAAAGAAUCAAACUUUGAAUCACGUGUCUUCAACCAACUCACCUCAUCUUGGCCUGACCAGUAUCGGCCCGAAGAAAGUAGUCAACUAGUCACACGUCAGAUAACAAAUCCUGCUAAGUAAACCAUAUGAUAAGGAAGUGAACAUCAAUCAUUCGAACGAUUUUAGCCAUAUCGGAUAUCGGAAAGGAACACCUUUACCGAACAUAAUGUUCUUCUAACGUAAAUUAUUGGAUGUUCAUUCUAUGUCGGAUUUAGAUUUCAUUUAGAAAUCCUGGCAGAAGCUUUUCAUUUAUAAGACCAUAGAAGGAUUGCACACACUAAUGUUUUAAAGUUAAUAAACGUAGUAAAUGGAAAAUGGGGUUUCAGAAUGAGGCGGGAAUUUGUCAAUGCCGAAGUUUGGAAACACGAUCGGAAAUACCCAUGAAAUGAAAAACAUUCUCUCACGUUAUGGUAUUUGUCGUACAUAAAUUGAAGUGCAUAUCUGGGCUCCCUUGUUUUCUGUGGCCCCGUUUCCCCUUGACUCGUAAUAAGCCCGUAGGGGGUCACGCCCCUACUGUACGGUAUAUAUAAAAACAACAUAUAUCGAGGU
Molecule: long non-coding RNA, 2294 nt
Organism: Daphnia magna
Lineage: Eukaryota; Metazoa; Arthropoda; Branchiopoda; Diplostraca; Daphniidae
Exons: 8
Source: RefSeq, a predicted model, not a curated record